UGGGAACGUACCCUUUGGUUCGGAACAACCCAGGGAAACUUGGGCUAAUACCGGAUAAGCAGGAAACUGGAAAGAUUUAUCGCCGAAGGAUCGGCCCGCGUCGGAUUAGCUAGUUGGUGGGGUAAAGGCCUACCAAGGCUACGAUCCGUAGCUGGUCUGAGAGGAUGAUCAGCCACACUGGGACUGAGACACGGCCCAGACUCCUACGGGAGGCAG
RNAcentral lists this ribosomal RNA (216 nucleotides) under uncultured bacterium. RNAcentral's name for it is "partial 16S ribosomal RNA". It matches the Rfam family "Bacterial small subunit ribosomal RNA", at positions 118 to 351 of the family's 1533-position model. The record is from RNAcentral.